UGCCAGCAGCCGCGGUAAUACGAAGGGACCUAGCGUAGUUCGGAAUUACUGGGCUUAAAGAGUUCGUAGGUGGUUGAAAAAGUUGGUGGUGAAAUCCCAGAGCUUAACUCUGGAACUGCCAUCAAAACUUUUCAGCUAGAGUAUGAUAGAGGAAAGCAGAAUUUCUAGUGUAGAGGUGAAAUUCGUAGAUAUUAGAAAGAAUACCAAUUGCGAAGGCAGCUUUCUGGAUCAUUACUGACACUGAGGAACGAAAGUGUGGGGAGCAAACAGGAUUAGAUA
RNAcentral lists this ribosomal RNA (279 nucleotides) under uncultured bacterium. Its description in RNAcentral is "partial 16S ribosomal RNA". It matches the Rfam family "Bacterial small subunit ribosomal RNA", at positions 506 to 784 of the family's 1533-position model. The record is from RNAcentral.